RNAcentral lists this long non-coding RNA (9885 nucleotides) under Lynx pardinus (Iberian lynx). The stretch from base 9563 to 9635 matches the Rfam family "tRNA". The record is from RNAcentral. Lineage: Eukaryota; Metazoa; Chordata; Mammalia; Carnivora; Felidae.
AGAUCCCCCUUUAUUUUUCAGAAUUGUGGUUUGCAUCCUAAGAGAAGCCUGUGAAUUCAGGGUCUGGGCCACCGAGGGCCUAACGUUUCUGUCCAUAAAAACAGAAGCCUGGCCCGGGCCUCUCUCUUGUGUGAAUCUGCAGUGUGCCAGCUCCUCUCUAUCAGUUUGGUUUUGUUUCUUGUAUCUCUGGGAAGGCAGGCAGACAGCACGGUCACCUGUGAAUGCAGCCACAAUUGGCUUAGCUGCCUCACUGAUAAAUGUGCCCUGGGUAGGCUACGAAGGGAUUAUCAGCGUUCCCAGCAGCUAAAGGUGAUUUUCAAGAACAGGAAGGAUUGCUUCAAACUGUUCUCCUUGAAUUUCAUUUUAAUAUUUUGCGUGACAGAGCACAAAGCUGAUGGAUAUGAACGAAUUUAGCUCCAAUGACCAAUGCAAUGCAAUCUCUGAAAACAUGGAGCCCGAUUCUGUGUCUUCCUUUUGGAUUCCAUUUUCUCAGGUUGGACAUUCUCCAAAAGGUCAGCCAGGAAAAGUCCUUUUGGAUGCCAGACACCAGGCAGAGGCUCUCAGGCCAGCAGGCCACCGGUGUUCAUUCAUUCCUCCUAAAAAUGGGCACAAAGUAAAGGUUAAUUCAGACCAUUUGGCAAAUGCUUGCUUGCCCAGUGAAGUUAUACAAAUCAGUCCAUGCUGAGUGACUGCAAAACUACAUCUAUUUUAUUUGGUCUUUCACAAAUAACCCAUCUGAACAAAAUCAGAUCUUGAUUAAAGAAAAUUAGGGUUUAUAGGAAAUUAUACUGAGGAUAACUGAGAGUUGGAAUUAAAAUUAUUAACAUACUUUUAGGGCACUAAUACACAUGAAAACAUUUAAUUUUCUUUUCAUUCAGAAGAACUGAAAAGCUCGUGUGCUAAUAGAAAAAUAUUGUGAGACCUAUCUUUAAUAGCUUCUUUUAAACUAAGAUUUUGAAUCCUCCUGUGUUAAAAUAUAAGCUGAUUUAAAAACUAUGGUCUCAGUCUCCUCCCGGGUUGAUGUUACUGAAAGGGGGUGGGAUUUGUAAUAAUAAUACCUAUUGUUUACUUAUUGCUCUGUGCUAAAAACUUUCUUCACUAGCAUUAUCUUACUCAAUCCUCACAAAAACCUAUGGGAUAGUAACUAUUAUUAGCCUUAUUUUAGAGAAAAGGGCAAUGAAAUUUAGGAAAGUGAGAUAACAUAGUUAAAGGCACAUAGCCAGUAAAGGGCAGAGUUAUUUGGACUCAGGUCAGCUUCCAAAGCCAUUUAUUUGUACUUACCCCCUGCACUAUACCACUUCCAUAAAUUAUCUGGCUCUGUUCUGCCAUGUGUUAGCUAUAUGUAUAAUCUUCUUGGAGAAGUCACUUAACCUCUGUAAACUCAGUUUGCUCAUCUUUAAAAUGGAGAUAACAGUACCUACCAGACAGGCUUAUAUGUGUAGGUGUAUAUAGCAAUGAAACCCUAUAUACAACUGGUUAUUAUUAUUAUGCUGAAAAGAAGAUGGUUUCAACUGAAGCCAAUAACAACAGUUGUUGAAUAAAUCUUUUAUUUAUUUAUUUAUUACAUUUAUUUAUUUUCGAGAGACAGAGACAGAGCAUGAGUGGGGGAGGGACAGAAAGAGAACUGUCAGCACAGAGCCUGACAUGGGACUGGAACCCACAAACCUUGAGAUCAUGACCUGAGCCAAAGUCAGAAGCUUAACAGACUGAGCCACCCAGGUGCCCCUGAAUAAAUCUUUUAAAAACAUCAUUUUUGAAAUGACUUUACCCUUUUAACACUAAAUGAUUGCCUAUUCCUAUUAGAACAAUUCCAGACCUCCUAACCCAAGAAAGAAGCUUGGCCACUAUUUAUCUACACAGCCUAUGGCUUCAGAGGGACAGAACUUUUCAGAGCCCAGACUGUCUUUUUACUGUUACCUUUCGUGGGGUUGGAUAAUGGCCUUCCAAAGAUGUCUUUGUCCUAAUCCUCAGAGCUCAGGGAACAUGUGAAUACAUUACGUAAGAAAAGGGACUUUGCAGAUGUGAUUAAAUUAAGGUUCUUGAGAUGAGCAGAUAAUCCUGGAUUUUGUCACUGGCCUAGUGAUAUAAUCAUAAGGGUCUUUAUAAGAGGGAAGCAGGAAGGUCGGUGCCAAUAGCAGGAGUGUGACAACGGAAUCCAGAAGUGGAGUGAUGUGAGGAAGGGGCCAAGAGCCAAGGAAUUCAGGUGGCCUCGGAAGCUGAAGAAAGAGAAGAAAACACAUUCUUCCCCAAAGCUUGCAGAAGCAACACAGCUCUGCUGGCACUGUGAUUUUUUUGGGCUUUUGACCCCUAGAAGUAUAAGAGAAUAAAUUUGUUGUUUUAAACUGAUAAGUUUGUGAUAAUUUACAGAAGCAACAGGAAACUCACUUUUCAGUCCAUGAUUAUUCCUACUGCUACCCAGGCUGUUGCCCUCACCUGAAAUGUCCUUUUUUUCUCCCUCCACUUUUCUAAAUCUUAUUUCAUGCUCAAGUCCCAUCUAAAACCUAUGGCAAGGGCACCUGGCAGGCUCAGUUGGUUAAGUGUCCAACUUUUGGCUUUGACUUGGGUCAUGAUCUCAUGGUUUGUGGGUUCAAGCCCUAUACUGAGCUCUGAACUGACAGUGUGGAUUCUCUCUCUCCCCACCUCUGUCUGCCUCUCCUCCCUUCUCUGCCCCUCCCAAGCUUGCAUGUGCUCUCUCCCUCUCUCUCAAGAUAAAUAAACUUAAAAAAGUAAAUAGUAUACCACAGAAUCAACAGACCACUUGACCAUAGUCUGAAUGUAUUGAGCAUUUAUUCAUUGAUUCUUUAAAUAUUUAUUCAACACCUACUAGGUGCUGGAGACACAUGCCUUCAAGAAGCUCCUAAAAAAGGAGGCAAAAGUGACUCAUUGAUUCAGCGAUGAGAGAGAUGACUAGGGCAGGCUACAUAUGUGGAGUGGGAUCUGACCUAUCUCAGGUGGGCAAGAAAGCCUUCAUCGACAAGAUGGGGACAAGAAGCUUUAGAUCUCGAAUUGUUCAUGUUUCCAAGAUUAGCAUUUCCAGAAACAUUGGAGAAGAGUAGUAGAAUGGUUAAGUGGAUAGUCAAAAGAUUAGCACAUCUGAAUUCAGAAGUAAACUCUGACUCUGGUCAAUUUCUCCAUCCAUGAAAUAAGGAUGAUGGUAAUAUUAGUACUUAACUCAUGGGUUGUAACCCAUUUAUAGCAAUGUCAGUUACAUAGUAAGCAUUAAGUGUUUAUUAUCAUUUAAAUUCCUCAAAGGCAGGUACUGCUGUCAUAUUGGUGUCUUUGUGCAUUUAUACAGUGUUGGAAACACACAGUCCUUAAGAGCAUAUCUAUCGAUCUGUCUAACAUUGUCUACCAUCUAUCUAUAAUUUUAAACUCAAUUUUAUAUACCUUGCAUGGUAGCACAGUGCUUGGCACCUAGCAGAUAUUUUAUGAAUGCUCACUGACUUGAAGUGAAGCACUAGAAAAUCUCACUUGUAGUUUCACAGGUAAAUGGUAAUGCUUACUUUCUUGCUCCCUUCGUGUAACCACUUCUAGAUAUUUGGAUUGGGACAGUCAUCAUUUUAAUAACAAACUUCAUGCUUAAAGUAUUGCAUAGUGGAAGAGACGGGUUUACCUUGAAGCUAAACGCAGAUUUACUGUGAAGCUAAUAAAGUGCACGUCUUUAAUGGGCUUUUUCCCAGGCCCUGUACCUAAUUUUGUAUUUGUAGUAUUGUAUUCUUUUUUUCCUCAAACGUAGUCCCUAGAAUUAUAUACCCUUGAUGCCCCACAAAAAUGUGGAUUUUUCCCUGCAUUGGAGCUAAGCAUGUGAACUCUGAAGCUAGACCGCCUGAAUUCAGAGCUCGCUUUGCCACUUUCUAGCUGUGUGAUCUUUCUGGCUUUCUUUUCUGGAAAAUGGAGUUGAUAAUAAUGUAAUGCUACAUACUUCAUAGGGCUGUUGAAAGGAUCAAAUAAACAAAUUUUAGUAAGCAGCCAGUAAAAAUUAGCAAUAUUAUUAGUUACAGAGAACUUUAGGAAGUUUCUAAGGCUGGUGCAGCAAGAACAGCAGUUUCCAGAGUAGAAUACAGUAGAAGCUUCCUAAGAUCAGGAACGAUCUUGUCUUGUUCACCUCUCUAUCCCCAGAACCUUAAAAUGUUAAAGCAUAUUGUAUUAUUAAUCACUAUGCCAGAUUGCUUCCCUUAUUACACAUUACUUUAUGGUCUUAUACUUUUAUUUUUUCUGUCUUAUCUCUCCAAGUACAUUGUGAUAAUAAUGGCUUACAUCUGUAUAAUGCUAUGUAGAAUUAUUCAUUCUUCCAAUAAAUAUUUAUGGCACAUAGUAGGUACACAAUAAAAUAUUUAUUGAAUUGAAUCAUGACUAAUCUGUUCAAAUGCAAAAAAUUCAGACUUAGUCUCUUCUAACUUUUAUUUUUGCUUUUUAAAAAAUAAUUUUAAAAUUCUAUUUUAUUUUUAUUUUUUUUUUCAACGUUUAUUUAUUUUUGGGACAGAGAGAGACAGAGCAUGAACGGGGGAGAGGCAGAGAGAGAGGGAGACACAGAAUCGGAAACAGGCUCCAGGCUCUGAGCCAUCAGCCCAGAGCCCAACGCGGGGCUCGAACUCACGGACCGCGAGAUCGUGACCUGGCUGAAGUCGGACGCCUAACCGACUGCGCCACCCAGGCGCCCCUAAAAUUCUAUUUUAGAGAAAGACAGAGAGAGUGUGUGUAAGUGGGGGAGAGGGGCAUAGGGAGAGGAAGAGAGAGAAUUUUAAGCAGGCUCCGCAUUUAGCAUGGAGCCGGAUGCGGGGCUCGAUCCCACAACGCUGGCAUCAUGACUUAAGCCAAAACCAAGACUGUGAUGUUCAACCGACUAAGCCACCCAGGUGCCCCAUAACUUUUGUUUUUUGGUGAAAUCUACAGAGAGUAAGUUUAAGGUGCAUUUUGACAUAGUGAGAAAUAUACUAACUAUACAAAUAGAUGAGUCAAUACAUUGAAUACAGAGAGAUAGCAUUGUUGUCCUCCCUAUCACUGAGUUAUUGACCAUCUACUUUGCAUAAACACCUGCGCUCUAGGAUACAGUGCAGGUGGGCUCAAAGGGAAAGACAGAGGACACAAGGUAGUACAGUAGAAAGGCAUUGCUGUAGGGAUCAGAGAACCUUGACUUGACUCAAUGUAUCCUGUAUACCUAGUUCCAUGACUUUGGGCAAAUCAUUUAACCUCUCCAAACCUCACUUUGCUCAUCUAUAAAAAGGCAUUUAUUAUAUCAGCAUGAGCUACUUUAUAAGAUUAUUGUAUUAAAUCAUGUAUUUUGUGGAAAAGUACUUUGUAAUUUAUGUCUACCUAAGAACAACUGUAUAAAAUAAGGAACAUUUGAAAAAAAGGAAUGAAAAGAGCCCGAAGAACAUAUACAAAUGGGUGAGAGGAAGAGAGAAAAAGCUGUUUAAAAGAAAAUUUCUAGAUAUAGAAAAUAAGCAAAGCAAAUCAUAUGUGUGUAUAAAUAAAACAUAUGUGGCAAGAAGAAAAACAACUAUAAAAUGAAAUAAAUAUUUAAAAAAAGAACUACCCUGUUGCACCUGGCUCAGUCUAUAGAGCAUGUGACUCUUGAUUUCGGGGUCAUGAAUUUGAGCCCCACAUUGGGCAUGGAGAUUACUUAAAAAAAACUACCAUAAAUGUUUACCAAAGGAAUUAAUAAUUCUAUGUAGAAUUCUGUAAAUAAGUUACAGUUACUACAAUCUAAGGAGAUAAGGCAGAAAAAUAAAAGCAUACUGAAGAGUGUAAAAUAAUGUGUAAUAAGUGAAAAGUUUGGCAUGGUGCUUAAGGAUACAAAAUAUAUUUCUUUGAAAUAUGUUCUAAAUUUGACCAUUUGUCACCACCUUUCACCAUCUUUUACUUGUACUGUUGCAAAGUAUUUCCAACAGAUUUCUUUGUUUCUACAUUUGCCCACCCCCCUACAGUUUUAUUUUUCACAUCGUGGACAGCAUGAUCUUUCAAAAAUGCAUUAUCAUUUCAUAUUACUCCCUUACUUCAAGUUGUCUGACAACUUCCCAUUUUACUUAUAAUACAUCCCAAGCUUCUCACUAUGGCCUACAAAGGCCUGUGUGCCCCUGACUAAUUCUCUCCAAGCUUGUCUUUUACCACAUUCCCCUCUUGUUCACUAUGUUCCAGCCACACUGGCCUUGCUGUUCUCUGAGUGGAGGAAACUUUUUUCCUGCCUCAGGACCUUUAUGCUUUCUUUUUUUUUUCUGCCUGUUCUGCUCUUUCCCUAGAUAUUUGCAUGGCUUUCUUCUCAUCAUUCAGGUCACAGCUAAAUGUCACCUCUACAGGUAGGGAUUCCCUGGCCAUCUGCCUAAGAUUGCCUCCCCAAAGCCUUAAUUUACCACUCUCUGAACAUUAUAUAGAAUUCAUUUGUUAAUUCUCAUUUAUUAUAAUUGUUUCCUGUUUCCCUUUGAAAAAUAAAACCUUCAGAAGGGUGAGGGCUUUAUUUUCUCUUUAUUGUUUUUCUAGUUUUCAUUAUAAAAUUCUUUCAUCUCUCUUUUAUGAUUUUUACUUAUCACUUUCUUCAUUCCCAUUUUCCUUUACCAUCUUAUCAUACUUCUCCCAUUUAGGAAGGUUAAAUCAGUUUUGGAAUUCACAGGAUCCUGCUGUCCUAGUCAUUUUAAAAGGAUAGUGUGUUUUCGUACAGAGGAUUCACAUUCCAAAGUUCCCUGGCUCAUUCAAAAAUCCAUUGAAAUAACAAAUAUUUUUGCCAAAAUUAUAUAUGCCAUAGUAAUUGGCUCAUUCACUUCUUAAAAUUCUAUGAAACGUUGUCCCAUAGCAGACAGUGUUGCUUUGCCAUGUGGGGUGUGUGUGUGUGUGUGUGUGUGUGUGUGUGUGUGUGUAUACUCAUCUAGGAAUGUAUAUAGGAAUACGUAUAUCUACUUACAUACCUACUUAUAGCACACUUCAUCUUUCCUCAUGCUCUACAUUGUCACAUUUCUUUUAUACUAAAUAACUGGAAUGAAAAUGUUUAUUUUUAUCUUAAAUGAAAGAGGCUGCAUCUCCUUGGCAUAGCCUUUACUGAGUCUUGCCCAUUUGCCUGCUUGCCACUGAUUGGCAUGGCUACAUCUUAGGUUCUGGAUUUAGCUGUUCUCUCUCUGUUGCACUUCGUUUUUCUCCUCUGUUGUCCAAUAGAACACAUUGUGCAGAAAAUCCUUGGCACUAUUUCCUUGGUAUACAUUUUAAAUUUCCCAGGGACUCUUCACGUCUGUUGAACAUUCGCCUCUUUCUCUGUGCUCUUGUAACUUCGUAUAUAUGCUACACUUAACACAUUGCUAUUCCUUGAUUUUGCAGGUCAUGUAUUUCUACCCCUUACCCACCACUGCCCACCCCAGAAUGGGCUGUCAGUUAUGUUUGUUAAACGAAUGCUUUGCGACUAUAUUUUAUUUUCCCUUUGAGAUUUUGAUUUUUUGGUUUGGGCAUCCACAUUUCUACAGGUAUAAUCAGUUGCAAAGGGGGUAUGUGUCUUCCUGACUUUCAGAGAGAAGACUAUUCCCACAAGACAGAUGUCUCUGACUAUGCUGUGCAGCUUGCCCAUGUAAACCUCUUGCAUUGUUUGGAGAUUCUAUCCCAUGCCAAGAAUCUAACCACCCACAAGCAGGCACGUUGCUGUCCAAACAGAUGGACAAGGGAGAUGGGCAGGCCAAAGCCCAUGGAUGAAUAUGAAAUAAAUCGGUACAGAGAAGCCAAGAGUGUUAGAAAUGAAUGCUAGUCCUUGCCACACAGUUUUCAACAUAAGGGUGGACCAUUGUGGUUGAGGUUUUGACACUGAGCUGUAAACAAAGGAAAAGGUAAAAGUGUGAAUGAAGUGGAUGUUUUAGCAGGUGUAUGAAAGGCCCCAAGAAUGUAGGUAGUCUGAAAUGUUCAAGUCAGCUUAGCAGGAGGAGUUAGUGUCCUCUUCAGCUGGGUCAGUUCUGAGAGUCCACAUAUGGUCCAAUCACCCAUCAACAAUCACUUUGUCAUUCAGCCAACAAAUAUUUAUUGAGCAUCUAGCAUGUGCCAAACACUGGUAGGUACUAGGUAGGUAAACAUCCAGGAACAAGAUUCACAUAGUCUCUUCCCUGUAAGAACUUAGAUUCCAUAAUUAAUUCCAUAAUUAGUUAUUAAUUACAGUUUAACUGCUAUGAAGGAGAAGUAUAAGGAAUGAAGAUGAUGUAUAAUGGAGGCUCUUAGUGUGGAGGAUCUGGAAAGAUGUCUCUGAGGAAGUGAUAUUUAGGUUGAAAUCUGAAGAAUGUAUGGAAGUUGAAGUGGGAGUGGGGUGUGGUGGGGCAGAGAACAGGAGAACAUUCUUGAGAUAAUAAUAUCCAUCUUUUAAUGUGUCUUUGAAGUGGCAAUUAGCUGUUCAAACUCUUUAGAAGGGGAAUUUACUCCCUCCAGAGGCAACACUUGAAUUGCUCUGUCAGUAAGAUCUUCAGUUUGAACUAAAGUCUGUCUCUCUGAAGCUCCUGACCUUUGGUCUUAUUUUAUUUCUUGGGACCUUGUAGAAUGAGCCUACUCCUUCUUGUGAUACCAGUGAUGUUCUUUCUUUCCUGCAAGAAAGUUGUUUAACCUCUCUAAGCCACGUAUUUUUUCCAUCUAUAAUUGGGGCUGAUUAAUAGUAUCUACCUCACAGGGUUGGUGUGAAGAUUCCACAAAAGAAUCUAUGUGAAGUGCUUGGUUUGAUGGCUGUUAGUCAAGUGCUUAGUAAAUGUCAACUAUCAUCAUGUUUAUUAUUACACAAAAUUCAUGUGUGUGCUUGUCUUUAUUAUUAGGUUGUAUUCUUCUUAAGGGUAUGGACUGUGGAGAGAACACGGAUUUCAGAAUCAGACAGAUCUCAAAGUCUGCCUGUCAUAUGUACUAACUAUGAGUAGGUGAUCAAUUAUUUUAAAAUGGUAAAAAUGUAAAAUUGUUUAAAGAUUGUAAAAAUGAUAUCUGUCAUUACUGCUCAAAAUUAUUGCAAGGAACAAAAGAGAUCAUCUAAGUAAAGAUACCAACACAAUACUUCGCAUUUAGUAAUUAGUGCUCAAUUAGUGUGUGUUUCCUUUCCUCUUUAUGGUCCCACAGUGAUUUCCUCAGAACAGGUUGCUUACUUGUGCAUUUAUAAUUCAACACCCACUGACUUCCAGGAAGUAUUAGGCCUAUUGAGUAGUAGCUAAUAAAUAUUUGCGAAUGAAUGGAAUGGGCAAAUGAAUGAAAUUUGCCUUCUUAACAACUUUUCUCAUAUGGGAACUCUGAAGAUUUCCCCAGCAAAAAGUAGGAAGCUCAGUGUCUUAUAGAUGAAGACUGGGGAGAUUGCAGAAGACCUAUACAGGUACUGAGCCUGGUCUUCUGGGGCCAGGAACCCUGCUCAUGCCUCAAGCUACCUGUAAUGAAAAGUCCUAUGUCUGCCACCUGUCUCAGAGAUCUGUCCUGAGGAUUAAUGAGAUAAUGUCCGAAGAGCCUUGUGAAGCCCUUGGAAGGAAAUUACAGGUUAAAGUAAAUUCCACAGAAUUUGGCUACUGAGAAGAAUUCUGAAUAACAAAGCUGUGAUCAGGUUGUAGUAGAUGGCUUUAAAAUUUUUUGGUUGUUGUGGGGCACCUGGCUGGCUCAGUUAGUAGAGCAUGUGACCCCUAAUCUCGGGGUUGUGGUUUCAAGCCCCACAUUGGGUAUAGAGAUUACUUAAAAAAAAAUAAAAUCUUUAAAAAAUUUUUGUUAUUUUAUUGAUAUGCUUUACAGCCACUUUUAGAUUCUGAACUAGCCUGUGGGACACGUUCUUUCUCAGGUCCUCACACUUCUAGCAGUCACUCUAGAACAGUCUCAAAGACUCUUCAGGAUUGUCUGUUAUCACCUGGGUCUUUGUUAAAAAUACAAUUUCCUGGGCUUCAACUUCAGAACUACAAAUUUGCAAAAUUCCAGGAA